UUUGCCAUAGCUCAGUUGGUAGUAGCGCAUGACUGUUAAUCAUGAUGUCGUAGGUUCGAGUCCUACUGGCGGAG
RNAcentral lists this transfer RNA (74 nucleotides) under Streptococcus pneumoniae. Its description in RNAcentral is "tRNA-Asn". It matches the Rfam family "tRNA". From Rfam's summary of the family: Transfer RNA (tRNA) molecules are approximately 80 nucleotides in length. Their secondary structure includes four short double-helical elements and three loops (D, anti-codon, and T loops). Further hydrogen bonds mediate the characteristic L-shaped molecular structure. tRNAs have two regions of fundamental functional importance: the anti-codon, which is responsible for specific mRNA codon recognition, and the 3' end, to which the tRNAs corresponding amino acid is attached (by aminoacyl-tRNA synthetases). tRNAs cope with the degeneracy of the genetic code in two manners: having more than one tRNA (with a specific anti-codon) for a particular amino acid; and 'wobble' base-pairing, i.e. permitting non-standard base-pairing at the 3rd anti-codon position. Lineage: Bacteria; Bacillati; Bacillota; Bacilli; Lactobacillales; Streptococcaceae. The record is from RNAcentral.